GAUGAACGCUGGCGGCGUGCUUAACACAUGCAAGUCGAACGGACAGGCUCCUGCUUGCAGGGGUACUCGAGUGGCGAACGGGUGAGUAACACGUGGGUGAUCUGCCCUUCACUUCGUGAUAAGCCUGCGAAACUGGGUCUCUUAUCGGAUAUGACGAUUUUUUCCAUGCCAUUGUGGAAUGUUUUUCGGUGUGGGUUUAGCUCGCGGCCUAUCCGCUUGUUGGUUAGGUAAUUGCAGACGAAGGCGUCGACGGGUAGCCGGCCUGAGAGGGUGUACGGCCACAUUGGGACUGAGGUACGGCCCAGAAUGGUACGGGAGGCAGCAGGGGGGAGUAUGGCAGAGUAGGCGCAAGCCAGAUGCAACGACGCCGGGUGGGGGAUGACGGCCUUCGGGGGAAAAACUCAUGUCGAAAGGGACGAAGAGAAAGUGACGGUACCUGGAGAAGAAGCAACGGCUAACUACGUG
This 465-nucleotide ribosomal RNA is filed under the name uncultured bacterium. Its description in RNAcentral is "partial 16S ribosomal RNA". It matches the Rfam family "Bacterial small subunit ribosomal RNA", at positions 28 to 507 of the family's 1533-position model. The record is from RNAcentral.